GCGGGGGUGGUGAAACUGGCAGACACACCAUCUUGAGGGGGUGGCGCUCACAAGGCAUGCGGGUUCAAGUCCCGCUCCCCGCACCA
This 86-nucleotide transfer RNA is filed under the name Bacteroidota bacterium. RNAcentral describes it as "tRNA-Leu". It matches the Rfam family "tRNA". Rfam says of the family: Transfer RNA (tRNA) molecules are approximately 80 nucleotides in length. Their secondary structure includes four short double-helical elements and three loops (D, anti-codon, and T loops). The record is from RNAcentral. Lineage: Bacteria; Pseudomonadati; Bacteroidota.